UUUUUUUAUAGCAAAAAUUAUAAAAAACGUAAAUUUUAAUUUCCGCGGUUAAAAUUAUUAUAUAUUUAAAUUUUAAUACGGUAAUUAAUAUUAUCGCGCGGACGAUUUUUAAUAUAAAAAACAAUUCCCUAAAAUUCUUUUAUUACGAAAUUAUAUAAAAUUCGUUAAUGGCAAAUAAAAUAAUUUGUUAAUUAAAAAUGGAAUUGCGGAAUAAUUUAAAAAAUCGGUAAUUAGUAACCUAUUUUGGACCUAAUAGGAUAUAAAUAUAUCCACAAACAACUUUUGGGUGCCAAAAAAGAUUAUAUUAUAUUAUAUUAAUUUUUAAAAUAUAAAAGAUAUAUUUAAAUUUAUAUUUGGUAUAAAUUGGUCGAUUAAUUUGGGGUUGGUAACGGGAUAUUAUUAUAUAUUGCGGAAUUAUUCUUAUUCCAAUUUAUUUAAUAGAAUUAUUUGGAUGGUAAUAACGUUAUAAUAAAUAAUAAAUAUAAUUUGAAAUAUUAGGUUUUUCUCGUAACCCGUUUUCGCGAAUAAUAUAACAUCCUUUAUAUUAUAAAAAAAGCGGCGGUUAUAUUUUAUUUGGUUAUAAUGGGGGAUUCGUAUUGGGAUGUUUGGGGGUUUAUAAAUAUUUAAAAAACGUAAAGCGACUAUUUUAACGAAUUUAUAUUGCAAUAUUUAAUCCCCUAAUAUUUUUAUUUAUAUAUAUAAUUCCGGAAAUAAAUAUAAAAUGAGUAAACCGGUAAUUGCGGCCGUAAUGAUAUUGGGGUUAUUUUAUAUUAUUUCGAUUUGGUGCAAAAGGGUUGCAUAUAUAGGGGAUUAUUUGGGUAUUAUACCGGUAUAAUUUGGUAAAAUUUACCAGGAAUUUGGGGGUAUAAUAAAAAUUUUAAAAUUGUAUAUAAACCGUAAUUACCUAAUUUUAACCGUUUUAUAUAUAAAAUUUUCGUUUUUUUUUAAAAUUAGUUUUAUAUUAUAUAUAUAGGAAUUCGUUAACCUUUUACGAUUUUCCAUAUAUUAAAUUUAUUUAUUAUUAAAUACGGAUAUGGGAAAUUAAAAUUAAUAUCAAUAAUAAUGGCGAUUUGCGAAUUUCUAACCUCCACGAAAAAAUAAAAAAAGGUUUAUAUUUAAUUUCGCGUAACGCGCAUAUAUAAAUUUCUUUUAAAAUUUUUCUAAAAAAUUUAACUUUUGUUAUUUUUAACGAUAUAAUUGUUUUUUUAUAUUUGGUGUGGUUAUGGUAUAAUAGGGGAGUAAAAUUUUAAAAAUCGCGAUUUUAUUUCCACGAAGGACGAAAAUCGACAAAUUGUUUUUAAACUUAAAUUAGAAAGUUUUUUGGUUGGAUUUACAAAUAUAAAUAAAACCACAAAUUAAACCACAAGUUUAAUUGUAAAACUCUGGGCUUUAGAAAUAAACCCUAAAAUUAAACGAAUAUAUAAAUAAUUAGAAAAAAAUUGGAGGACGUUUAAUUUAUUAUACCGUUUUUACCGAUCGCAACGAUUAUACAAUUCCUAUUAAUAUUAAUUAAUAUUGUUAAUUUAAAAAAUACAAAUAAAUUAAAAAAAAGUAUUUAAAUUGCUAAUUCCCUCGGCCAACGCCGUAUUUGGAAAUAGCAACGAAAAUAUUAUAAUAAUUACAAAUUCCGUACGCUAAUACGUUUAAAAUUUGUGGAUUAUUAUUACGUAAAUUUCCGAAAAUACCGGUUAAAUUAUUAUAAUUUAAACUUCCUGGAAUUUUACCACCCGAAUUAUACCGUUAACCAACACCCGUUCCGAACCGUUAUUUUAAACGAAAAAAAACGCUAUAUCGGAUAUAAACCUGUUAAACCGACGUAUAUAGUAAAUAUAAUUUACAAUCCCGAAUAUAUUCGAAAAACCUAAUAAAAACAAACUUUUGGACUAUAUAUUUAAAAAAUAUGUAAUCCGUCCUAAUAAUUAACAAAAUAUUAAUUUCGUAAUAUUGGGAAACGCAAUAACAAAUUUUUCGAAAUACCGAAAUAAAAUAAUAAUUGUUUAAAAAAACGUAUAAAUUAUUAAAAUAAUUUAUAAUUUUAGAAAAUUUAUAAUAUGGAAAAAGGGGAUUUCCUGCUGGAAUAUUAUAUCGACAAAUUCAAAAAUUGGAAAAAAAAAUUUUUUAACAAUUGUAACCGAAAUUAUACGCGUAUUUUCAAAAAUUAUUUAUAAAAUUAUAAAGUUACGGUACCAGGCCGAAAAUACGGAAAAAUAGGGCGGAAAUUGGUAAAUAUUAUAAAAAUUGCAAAAAAAAACCAAACGGUAAUUACGCAAAAUAAUAAUCCAAACGAAUAUUUUAUUAAAAAUACGAACGAUCGCCAUUCGAUAAUUACUAAUAUUAAUCCGAUUAAUAUAAUUCCGAAAAUAAAAUUUCAAAAACCCGAAUUUAUAUUUCGUUUUUCCCCUAAUAUAUAAUAUAAUUAUAUCCGCCAUUAAUUAAUUAUUUCCGGGGAACAAUUAUUUGGAAAUAUAUAAAUAUAUAACGAAAAUAAUAGGAGGAAAUAUUAAAACGAACGGGCAAAUAUUUAUAAAAAAUAAUUAAACGCGUACAAAAUUUACCAAAUAUAUAACCGUCCCAUUAUAACGCAAAAUAUUAUUAUAUAUAAAAAUUUACCGCCCGUAUAUAUAUCCAACAAAAUAUUCCCGUUAAUUUUAUUAAAAAUUUUUAUAUGAAUUUGGGAAAAAUAUGAUAAUUAUUUAAAAAAUCCAUACAAUUUUUUGGACGAAACGGUAUUUAAUUUUGCAAAUAUUUGCUAAAUAAUAUAAAUUGAAAUUUCCUAAAUAUAUGCGGUAUUUCCGUUAAUAUUAAAAAAAAACAAAUAAAUAUUUCCAAAUAUACGUGGAUAAAAAUAAAACGUUUAGGAAAAUAUAUUUAAUUUUAAAAAAACGGUUCGAUUCCGAUUUAAUACGUUAAUAAUACCAUUUAAAUUGGAAUUUUAUUACGUUUUAUUCGUUA
Molecule: small RNA, 2952 nt
Filed under: Pyricularia oryzae
Lineage: Eukaryota; Fungi; Ascomycota; Sordariomycetes; Magnaporthales; Pyriculariaceae
Description: Magnaporthe oryzae sRNA M_BR32_EuGene_00147191
Source: RNAcentral